This 77-nucleotide transfer RNA is filed under the name Oscillospiraceae bacterium. RNAcentral's name for it is "tRNA-Met". It matches the Rfam family "tRNA". From Rfam's summary of the family: Transfer RNA (tRNA) molecules are approximately 80 nucleotides in length. RNAcentral also lists the same sequence under 2 other names. The record is from RNAcentral. Lineage: Bacteria; Bacillati; Bacillota; Clostridia; Eubacteriales; Oscillospiraceae.
GGCGGCGUAGCUCAGCUGGUCAGAGCAUUCGGUUCAUACCCGGAGUGUCACCUGUUCGAAUCAGGUCGCCGCUACCA